RNAcentral lists this ribosomal RNA (253 nucleotides) under uncultured bacterium. RNAcentral describes it as "partial 16S ribosomal RNA". It matches the Rfam family "Bacterial small subunit ribosomal RNA", at positions 524 to 776 of the family's 1533-position model. The record is from RNAcentral.
UACGAACUGUGCGAACGUUAUUCGGAAUCACUGGGCUUACAGGGUGCGUAGGCGGCCUUCCAAGUCAGGUGUGAAAUCCCCCGGCCCAACCGGGGAACUGCGCUUGAAACUGGUUGGCUUGAGUCAGCUAGAGGUACACGGAACUUCCGGUGGAGCGGUGAAAUGUGUUGAUAUCGGAAGGAACACCAGAGGCGAAAGCGGUGUACUGGAGCUGGUCUGACGCUGAGGCACGAAAGCCAGGGGAGCGAACGGG